UGCUACAAUGGUCCGUACAGAGGGCUGCGGACUCGGCGACGGGAAGCGAAUCCCUUAAAGCGGAUCUCAGUUCGGAUUGCAGGCUGCAACCCGCCUGCAUGAAGUCGGAAUCGCUAGUAAUCGCAGGUCAGCAUACUGCGGUGAAUACGUUCCCGGGCCUU
RNAcentral lists this ribosomal RNA (161 nucleotides) under uncultured Desulfurispora sp. Its description in RNAcentral is "partial 16S ribosomal RNA". It matches the Rfam family "Bacterial small subunit ribosomal RNA", at positions 1223 to 1382 of the family's 1533-position model. The record is from RNAcentral. Lineage: Bacteria; Bacillati; Bacillota; Clostridia; Eubacteriales; Desulfurisporaceae.